GGGUGAGUAAUAUAUCGGAACGUGCCCAGUCGUGGGGGAUAACGCAGCGAAAGCUGUGCUAAUACCGCAUACGAUCUCUGGAUGAAAGCGGGGGACUCGCAAGAGCCUCGCGCGAUUGGAGCGGCCGAUAUCAGAUUAGCUAGUUGGCGGGGUAAAAGCCCACCAAGGCGACGAUCUGUAGCUGGUCUGAGAGGACGACCAGCCACACUGGAACUGAGACACGGUCCAGACUCCUACGGGAGGCAGCAGUGGGGAAUUUUGGACAAUGGGCGAAAGCCUGAUCCAGCAAUGCCGCGUGCAGGAUGAAGGCCUUCGGGUUGUAAACUGCUUUUGUACGGAACGAAACGGUCUGCCUUAAUACGGUGGGCUAAUGACGGUACCGUAAGAAUAAGCACCGGCUAACUACGUGCCAGCAGCCGCGGUAAUACGUAGGGUGCGAGCGUUAAUCGGAAUUACUGGGCGUAAAGCGUGCGCAGGCGGUGAUGUAAGACAGAUGUGAAAUCCCCGGGCUCAACCUGGGACCUGCAUUUGUGACUGCAUCGCUAGAGUACGGUAGAGGGGGAUGGAAUUCCGCGUGUAGCAGUGAAAUGCGUAGAUAUGCGGAGGAACACCGAUGGCGAAGGCAAUCCCCUGGACCUGUACUGACGC
RNAcentral lists this ribosomal RNA (648 nucleotides) under uncultured bacterium. Its description in RNAcentral is "bacterial SSU rRNA". It matches the Rfam family "Bacterial small subunit ribosomal RNA", at positions 104 to 746 of the family's 1533-position model. The record is from RNAcentral.